RNAcentral lists this ribosomal RNA (654 nucleotides) under uncultured bacterium. RNAcentral describes it as "bacterial SSU rRNA". It matches the Rfam family "Bacterial small subunit ribosomal RNA", at positions 139 to 788 of the family's 1533-position model. The record is from RNAcentral.
GGGGAUAACUACUGGAAACGGUAGCUAAUACCGCAUAACGUCGCAAAACCAAAGAGGGGGACCUUCGGGCCUCUUGCCAUCGGAUGUGCCCAGAUGGGAUUAGCUUGUUGGUGGGGUAACGGCUCACCAAGGCGACGAUCCCUAGCUGGUCUGAGAGGAUGACCAGCCACACUGGAACUGAGACACGGUCCAGACUCCUACGGGAGGCAGCAGUGGGGAAUAUUGCACAAUGGGCGCAAGCCUGAUGCAGCCAUGCCGCGUGUAUGAAGAAGGCCUUCGGGUUGUAAAGUACUUUCAGCGGGGAGGAAGGGAGUAAAGUUAAUACCUUUGCUCAUUGACGUUACCCGCAGAAGAAGCACCGGCUAACUCCGUGCCAGCAGCCGCGGUAAUACGGAGGGUGCAAGCGUUAAUCGGAAUUACUGGGCGUAAAGCGCACGCAGGCGGUUUGUUAAGUCAGAUGUGAAAUCCCCGGGCUCAACCUGGGAACUGCAUCUGAUACUGGCAAGCUUGAGUCUCGUAGAGGGGGGUAGAAUUCCAGGUGUAGCGGUGAAAUGCGUAGAGAUCUGGAGGAAUACCGGUGGCGAAGGCGGCCCCCUGGACGAAGACUGACGCUCAGGUGCGAAAGCGUGGGGAGCAAACAGGAUUAGAUACCCU